CGAAGGGCAAGCGCACGGCCUCCAGCAGCUGUGGCCAGUGCGCGGCUCGGCGCGGCAGGUCGGCCCGCACCCAGCGCAGGGCCAGCUGGUAGGCGGCCUCCUCCUUGGGCACGCAGAGUCCGUCGUCGCGCAGAUAAAAGACCUAUGCAAUUCUAAAGAAGAGGUGAGAACACCAAUUUAGAAUCUGAGGAUUUGGUUUCAAAACUUAAGCUCUCUGGGCCUCAAGUUUCUUGAGCUUUAAAAUAAAGACAGGGGAUUGGACUGCCAGUUCUGAUUCUAUGACUCCCAAAGACCCUUCUUGUUAACAUGGACUCCAUUUACACAGAAUCUUCUGGCUUCUUCUACAUCAUUUCUCCACAACAAGAGGUUAUGCAGUCUUUUAAAAAUAUUUACCAUCUGUAAACUGUGUAAACUUGCUCAAUAUUUCUUCUAGCAAUGGUCACUAAAAAUAUUAAAAGGAUGGGCCUAUUUACUUACCAAUGAAAGUUAUUUAAUUUC
Molecule: long non-coding RNA, 498 nt
Organism: Monodelphis domestica (gray short-tailed opossum)
Lineage: Eukaryota; Metazoa; Chordata; Mammalia; Didelphimorphia; Didelphidae
Source: RefSeq, a predicted model, not a curated record